Long non-coding RNA from Brassica oleracea var. oleracea, 1132 nucleotides. RefSeq lists it as uncharacterized. NCBI's taxonomy places the organism in Eukaryota, Viridiplantae, Streptophyta, Magnoliopsida, Brassicales, Brassicaceae. The transcript is spliced from 4 exons. The record is from RefSeq and is a predicted model, not a curated record.
UCGCAUGUCGUCGUCUAGGUCGUAUCUUCAUCUUACGGCCGCCAAUUUUUCCGAGAUGAAAGUCGAUGAUAACGCCAUGGACGUUACAACGUUUCAUCUUGCUCACGUUACAACGUUUCAUCUUGCUCUUCUUUACUUACUGUUAAUUCGUGAUUUCCCCACUCCUGAGCAUUCAAUCCGACUCCUUCUCUUCCCGUAGGUACUCACUAGAGCUUCGGGUAUAAAUACCUCCUCAUCCAGACAUGAGCAUCACAACUUCAACGAGAACCAGAAGAUCACUCUGUUCAAUUUCUGGUUAUUACAAUGGCGAAUUCCCAAGUCCUUCUUGCUGAUUUGAAAGCAGGACGCUGCUCCAACGUUGCGGAGGUCUGGUUGCUGCGAUUCUGGGAAGCCAGAAAUGUGAGGAAAGGCGGUGAACUGACGAUUGUUAACAUGCUCUUUGUCGAUGAGAAUAGUUGAAGGAAAGGUUUGCUUGUGUCCUACCCGCAUCGAGCUUUUACCAACGUAAUGCGGUGAACAAGCAUUGAAGACGUUCACCCAAACGGUGGAAUCAAGAAAUUCAAAUCUUCUGUCUACUCCAACUUUGUAUUUUCCUUUCGUCUAAGAUCAAAACUGGCUCCCCAAUCCAAUCGUUCUCAAAGUCAUGCGCUCAUACAACAAGGUGAGAUGAAUUUGUCUGCAAAUCGGUUUCAAAGGUUACGAGAAGUAGCUCGAGGUCAUCUUUCAAGACUCCAAGGGAUUUGGUCUCUGUGCUCUGAUCAAGUCGCAGUUGGACUAAAAACUCACUCCUGCUGCAUGUGCGAUAGUGCUCUGAGUCCAGUUUCUUUGUCUACCCCCAUCAAGACUUCUUCAUCUCACAUCUGAGUGAGAGCGGGAGCAAGGCUGCAGACCCAGUUGGGACAUCACCAGAGCCUACAACUAAGAAGCCAAUGGGGUGUACCAAUCUUGAGUAGACGUUGUAGUGGCUCUCAAUUAUCGUUCAGCCCAGCUGUCAUCUAUCAUAUUUUCAUAGUUUCUGCUUCCAGUUUAACAAUUGUAAGGCUUAUUAGGUCUCUGUCUAUGCAAAUAUUUGGGCUUUGAUAUUUUAAAAUUAAACACUUAUACACCUAAGUGAGUCAAGAACACAAUAUUU